RNAcentral lists this ribosomal RNA (256 nucleotides) under uncultured bacterium. RNAcentral describes it as "partial 16S ribosomal RNA". It matches the Rfam family "Bacterial small subunit ribosomal RNA", at positions 526 to 779 of the family's 1533-position model. The record is from RNAcentral.
CGUAGGGUGCGAGCGUUAAUCGGAAUUACUGGGCGUAAAGCGUGCGCAGGCGGUGAUGUAAGACAGAUGUGAAAUCCCCGGGCUCAACCUGGGACCUGCAUUUGUGACUGCAUCGCUAGAGUAUGGCAGAGGGGAGUGGAAUUCCGCGUGUAGCAGUGAAUAGCGUAGAUAUGCGGAGGAACGACCGAUGGCGGAAGGCAAUCCCCUCGGCCUGUACUGACGCUCAUGCACGAAAGCGGUGGGAGCAAACAGGAUU